Molecule: long non-coding RNA, 236 nt
Filed under: Trifolium pratense (red clover)
Lineage: Eukaryota; Viridiplantae; Streptophyta; Magnoliopsida; Fabales; Fabaceae
Description: long non-coding RNA (TPRA_LNC008198)
Source: RNAcentral
GUUCUCUAGGUAAGUAGUUGGUACUCGGUAGUGAGUUCUAUAAUAGUAAUAUGUUUUGUGAACAAGGGCAUUAGAAUGAUUAAAAAAAAUUCCCUUUAAUUUUAAUAAUACUAAAAACAGAAUAGUGCUGUGAAACAACUAAAGCAAAAAACUACGAACUUGUUUAAUUUGUUCUUUCCUGAAGAAAUUUUUAAAACAGAAAAUAAAGCGAAGAUGACAUAAAAAUGCAGAAAAGC